CCUACGGGGGGCUGCAGUGAGGAAUAUUGGUCAAUGGGCGAUGGCCUGAACCAGCCAAGUAGCGUGAAGGAUGACUGCCCUAUGGGUUGUAAACUUCUUUUAUAAAGGAAUAAAGUCGGGUAUGCAUACCCGUUUGCAUGUACUUUAUGAAUAAGGAUCGGCUAACUCCGUGCCAGCAGCCGCGGUAAUACGGAGGAUCCGAGCGUUAUCCGGAUUUAUUGGGUUUAAAGGGAGCGUAGAUGGAUGUUUAAGUCAGUUGUGAAAGUUUGCGGCUCAACCGUAAAAUUGCAGUUGAUACUGGAUGUCUUGAGUGCAGUUGAGGCAGGCGGAAUUCGUGGUGUAGCGGUGAAAUGCUUAGAUAUCACGAAGAACUCCGAUUGCGAAGGCAGCCUGCUAAGCUGCAACUGACAUUGAGGCUCGAAAGUGUGGGUAUCAAACAGGAUUAGAUACCCCGGUAGUC
This 460-nucleotide ribosomal RNA is filed under the name uncultured Bacteroides sp. Its description in RNAcentral is "bacterial SSU rRNA". It matches the Rfam family "Bacterial small subunit ribosomal RNA", at positions 338 to 795 of the family's 1533-position model. The record is from RNAcentral. Lineage: Bacteria; Pseudomonadati; Bacteroidota; Bacteroidia; Bacteroidales; Bacteroidaceae.